AGGUGUGAUCAAACCAAGACUAAUGCACGGGAUCACAUCAGAAGUCCGCAGUCAAGCAUGCUUGGGAGAGAGUAGUACUCGAAUGGGUGACCUCCUGGGAAGUCCACCUGCUACACCUC
Lupinus angustifolius (narrow-leaved blue lupine) is the source of this 119-nucleotide non-coding RNA. The record is from Rfam. NCBI's taxonomy places the organism in Eukaryota, Viridiplantae, Streptophyta, Magnoliopsida, Fabales, Fabaceae.